Molecule: microRNA, 21 nt
Filed under: Cavia porcellus (domestic guinea pig)
Lineage: Eukaryota; Metazoa; Chordata; Mammalia; Rodentia; Caviidae
Description: Cpo-Mir-328_3p (mature (guide))
Source: RNAcentral
CUGGCCCUCUCUGCCCUUCUG